GAUGAACGCUAGCGGCAGGCUUAAUACAUGCAAGUCGUGGGGCAGCAUGAGUAGCAAUACUUGAUGGCGACCGGCAAACGGGUGAGGAACACGUACACAACCUUCCUUCAAGCGGGGAAUAGCCCAGAGAAAUUUGGAUUAAUACCCCAUAAUAUAUUUGAUAAGGCAUCUUAUUAAAUAUUAAAGCUUCGGCACUUGAUGAUGGGUGGUGCGGCUGAUUAGAUAGUUGGCGGGGUAACGGGCCCACCAAGUCUACGAUCAGUAGCUGAUGUGAGAGCAUGAUCAGCCACACGGGCACUGAGACACGGGCCCGACU
This 316-nucleotide ribosomal RNA is filed under the name uncultured bacterium. RNAcentral describes it as "bacterial SSU rRNA". It matches the Rfam family "Bacterial small subunit ribosomal RNA", at positions 28 to 337 of the family's 1533-position model. The record is from RNAcentral.